Molecule: long non-coding RNA, 1068 nt
Organism: Cygnus olor (mute swan)
Lineage: Eukaryota; Metazoa; Chordata; Aves; Anseriformes; Anatidae
Exons: 3
Source: RefSeq, a predicted model, not a curated record
UUAAAAUGGCUGCUGCCUUGAUCAACUGUCAUCCUGAGAAAGUUACACAGUUCUCCCAUGUUUUCUGCAGCAGAAUGCGAGACCUUCCAAAUAACAGAAGAAUGUUUAUUGCAUCCCUUCUUACUUAACAUCAGGAUUGUUAUGGGAAGAAAAACAAGUCCAUCACAGGCACAUUCCUCUUCAGUAUCUCAUGGUGAAGAGCCACAGAAAGAUUGUUAGGGGCCUUCUGACACAAAGGUUGAAACAGCUGUUUUAUUGGAAUACUGCAGAGAAGCAAAAUUUAGGAUAUCUGGAAAUUUACUGAGAAUGAGCUACUUCACCAAACACAACGCUCAGCAGGUUUCCAUUGAAAACAAUGUCCUAACAGAAGAUGAAAGAAUAUGGAUAGCAGAAGAAUCUCACCUCUUUCCAGGAAUCAUAGAGAUUUAUAGUGCACAAAGUGUCCACCAUCACAAGUUUUUAGCAUCAGAAAAGCAGAAAGCUUCUGACUGAGCAGGAAACUGAAGGAGGGACCUUUCCUUAAUUAACCCCCUACGGAGAAGAGAGGACCACAUGAUCAAAAACUACCUUUUCCCCAUCUUCACAAUAUAAGGCAAGUCAUCUGUAGCAUUCAAAGAAAAACAAAUUAAUUAUGAUGUACUAAACCAGAUAAUAAAAAGCAGGAACUGAAUAUUCCCUAUCAUCAAUCUUAAAUCUUCUUAAAAUUGAGACACAUUAAUGAGCAGAUUGUUAUUUUGGCAAAAUUAUUCUAAAUUAUCAUCCCAUGUUUAUAAUGGGAUUUAUUAUUUUGGGUACACUUUAACUACAUAUACUGUCUUAAGGCUUGCAGUUUCAAGGUUUGAAUAGGCAAUACAUGUCUGUGCUAGAAAGAUAAGAACUUCCCUCUUCUGCUUAAGUACUCAUUCCCAUUGUAGUGUAACUCCCAACAAGGAGAGGAAUACCUAAUGGUAAAAAUAGCUGUGAUUGUUUACUACAUUAUGGUUUUCACUCCUGCUGUCUCAUCAGUGAUACACUCAUGAUCUGCAUGUUCAUUUUUUAUGGACAGAAAUGAAACCCUAACUGACAAGG